Molecule: long non-coding RNA, 513 nt
Organism: Esox lucius (northern pike)
Lineage: Eukaryota; Metazoa; Chordata; Actinopteri; Esociformes; Esocidae
Source: Ensembl
GUUUUCUGUAGUUUUGUUCCUGGAGGAGGAUGACUGUGUGGCAGCAGUUCCACGCCAGAUCAUUUGGAGAAGAUCAAGUGGCUGACUGAAGAGAAGGUUGAGCUGAGGGCUCUACAAUCAGUUCCAUCUAUGUCCACCUUCAGCGACACAGCAACACCUGCCCAUCAUGAAGAUGACACAUCACCCCCUACCUCAAGCAGUAGUACCACCAACACUACAAAAGGUUUGGAAGACCCUACACAACGGCCAACUGUCCUAGUCCAUACUGAACAGGGCACAAUAUUAACAAGAGGGCCUACAGGUCAAAGAUAUUGAUUUGCCCCAGAAGUCUGAGAAAAAUUCAUGUAGAUUCAGAAAUGAAAACUAAAAUGGUGAUCAAUGCUGCUUGGAAGGGCAAUAUGGGCUCCUUCUAUCCAGCCUCCUCCUAAGAGAAACACAUUCCCCUUGUUCUGUUUUACAUCUAUUUUACUAAAGUUGUUGUUAUUGUUCAGUUAUCUUGUUUACAUAAAGUAU